Molecule: ribosomal RNA, 234 nt
Filed under: uncultured bacterium
Lineage: Bacteria
Description: partial 16S ribosomal RNA
Rfam family: Bacterial small subunit ribosomal RNA
Source: RNAcentral
UGAGUAACCUGCCCUUAACUCUGGGAUAAGCCUGGGAAACUGGGUCUAAUACCGGAUAUGACUCCUCAUCGCAUGGUGGGGGGUGGAAAGCUUUAUUGUGGUUUUGGAUGGACUCGCGGCCUAUCAGCUUGUUGGUGGGGUAAUGGCCUACCAAGGCGUCGACGGGUAGCCGGCCUGAGAGGGUGUCCGGCCACACUGGGACUGAGACACGGCCCAGACUCCUACGGGAGGCAG